GGAAUGGUCUCAGCGAUGCUCGACUAUAUUGGCCCCAUCGACGUAAUCAACUUCUGGCUGCUGCAAAGAAGGAAAACAAAAGGUUUAGGGAUUAAUAAGGUGCCAUGUGGGUGCAUAGCCCCUGGCAUAUU
Molecule: ribosomal RNA, 131 nt
Filed under: Sarcophyton trocheliophorum
Lineage: Eukaryota; Metazoa; Cnidaria; Anthozoa; Malacalcyonacea; Alcyoniidae
Description: partial 16S large subunit ribosomal RNA
Source: RNAcentral